CAGCCGCCGCGGGAAUACAGAGGGUGCGAGCGUUAAUCGGAUUUACUGGGCGUAAAGCGUGCGUAGGCGGCUUCUUAAGUCGGAUGUGAAAUCCCUGAGCUUAACUUAGGAAUUGCAUUCGAUACUGGGAAGCUAGAGUAUGGGAGAGGAUGGUAGAAUUCCAGGUGUAGCGGUGAAAUGCGUAGAGAUCUGGAGGAAUACCGAUGGCGAAGGCAGCCAUCUGGCCUAAUACUGACGCUGAGGUACGAAAGCAUGGGGAGCAGACAGGAUUAGAUACCCGAGUAGUCCCUGUCUCUUAUAC
RNAcentral lists this ribosomal RNA (301 nucleotides) under uncultured bacterium. RNAcentral's name for it is "partial 16S ribosomal RNA". It matches the Rfam family "Bacterial small subunit ribosomal RNA", at positions 509 to 807 of the family's 1533-position model. The record is from RNAcentral.